UACGGGGGGGGCAAGCGUUGUUCGGAAUUACUGGGCGUAAAGGGCUCGUAGGUGGCCAACUAAGUCAGCUGUGAAAUCUCCGAGCUUAACUCGGAACUGUCAGCUGAUACUGAUGUGCUAGAGUGCGGAAGGGGCAAUCGGAAUUCUUGGUGUAGCGGUGAAAUGCGUAGAUAUCAAGAGGAACACCUGAGGUGAAGACGGGUUGCUGGGCCGACACUGACGCUGAGUGCGCGAAAGCCAGGGGAGCAAACGGG
RNAcentral lists this ribosomal RNA (254 nucleotides) under uncultured bacterium. Its description in RNAcentral is "partial 16S ribosomal RNA". It matches the Rfam family "Bacterial small subunit ribosomal RNA", at positions 524 to 776 of the family's 1533-position model. The record is from RNAcentral.